This 742-nucleotide long non-coding RNA is filed under the name Betta splendens (Siamese fighting fish). Its description in RNAcentral is "lncRNA (ENSBSLG00000010684.1)". Lineage: Eukaryota; Metazoa; Chordata; Actinopteri; Anabantiformes; Osphronemidae. The record is from RNAcentral.
AUGAAGACUUUGUGUGUUGCUGUUGUUGUGCUGAGUCUCACCUCAGUGUGUCAGUCUGCACCGUUGACCUGUGAGCAGCUGAAUAAGCCACUCGACAAAAGUCCAGACUUGUCUGGAAGAUGGUAUAUGAUAGCGCUGAGCUCAGACGUCUGUCUGAUUCCAAGCCUCCUGAAUGCCUUGUUUUGGCCCAGUCUUGUUAUUGACUUUAAAGAACAGGACACACCAAACCUCUACAAUGCCAACGUUACGUUCAACAUGCAUGACUUUUGUGACUCAAAAGUUGAAACCUUCUUCCUUAAAAGCAGCAGCCUUUUUGAUGUGGACAGCAACAAUGCUCCAACUGGUGAGCCUGAUACGCUGCUGCACACUGGCUGUCCUGACUGCCUCGUUAUCAAGGGGAAUGAUGACAUCAACUUGCUCAUGUACCUCAGUAGGAGAAAAACUGUCACUGAUGCUGAGCUGAAGGAGUUUGAGACACAGUCAGAAUGUAUGGGCUGGUCCAAACCAGAGGUUCUAAACACAGUCCAUGAAUACAAAGACUGCAAGUCCUUUGAUGACGACAAUGAGCAUGAUGUUUCAACUUUAUUGGCCAAGAUGGGUCAACGAAUGAAAAGCUCAUUUAUGUCUCCUCUUCGAUGUAUUGGACAGUAUAUUUUUAACAUCCCUUCCAUUGGGUGGACAUAGAAAGAGUUGAACAGCCUUCUGUGAAUGAACAAAUAAAAACUACACUAAAUGUGAAACA